This 751-nucleotide long non-coding RNA is filed under the name Prunus persica (peach). Its description in RNAcentral is "long non-coding RNA (PPER_LNC002648)". Lineage: Eukaryota; Viridiplantae; Streptophyta; Magnoliopsida; Rosales; Rosaceae. The record is from RNAcentral.
UGGCUCUCUCUCUCUCUCUCUCUCUCUUGAAGGCUUUCUUCGUCUCUGUAAGACUGUAACUGAGAAGGAAAGGGAUCGCCAGUGAAUUGCAGGAACAUAAGGAAUAAAGUGGGGCAAGUUUUUAGAUAAUUUGAACAAUCUGUAAGUGACCUUACUUUCUCAGCAAAUUCUACAAAAGGAAGUUACUUGUACUCGAUUUAAUUUCCACCAAUUUUGAGUUUUUUUUUUAUAUAUUUAAUUUCUUGGUCUUAUUAAUUUGUACAAUAUUAGAUUUUCAUCCUAUUACAAUAUCAGAUCAAAUUAAUGAAUUAACUAUUACAAUAUUGGAUAUUUUCCAAAUCUAGAGCAAUUAAUUGCCGGACAUUGAGUUCUAGAACUAAUAAUAAUGAUAGCUAGAUGAACAAAUAAGAAAGAUUUAUGCUUAAAUUAAUAUGUUUAUUUAAAAUUAAAGCACAAACUUGACUUUGAUUCCUAAACAAAACUACAUUAAUAAAAAAAAAAAAAAAUACAUAUAAUUCUAGCUACUUUAUGGAUUUUAAUUCUGUUUGAGUGUAUCAAUAAACCUUCCAUUAACUAUAUCAUUGUUUGUGAUAAAAUCCAGAAAGUCUCUGAAGCUGAACUCUUUGUAAGACUGUGGAUGUUGUUUGUCCACGAGCAUUGGUGCAGGCCCUACUUUCUUGUCCAAAGGAAGACUGUGGAGACUUGCAAUGGAAAGUCUACUUUUCUCAGCGCUAACUGUUGCUCUGUGCAG